GCCAGACUCCUACGGGAGGCAGCAGUGAGGAAUAUUGGUCAAUGGGCGAGAGCCUGAACCAGCCAAGUCGCGUGAGGGAAGACGGUCCUAUGGAUUGUAAACCUCUUUUGCCGGGGAGCAAAAAGCGGUACGUGUACCGCAUCGAGAGUACCUGAAGAAAAAGCAUCGGCUAACUCCGUGCCAGCAGCCGCGGUAAUACGGAGGAUGCGAGCGUUAUCCGGAUUUAUUGGGUUUAAAGGGUGCGUAGGCGGAACAUUAAGUCAGCGGUAAAAUCGAGGGGCUCAACCCCUUUAAGCCGUUGAAACUGGUGAUCUUGAGUGGGCGAGAAGUAUGCGGAAUGCGUGGUGUAGCGGUGAAAUGCAUAGAUAUCACGAAGAACUCCGAUUGCGAAGGCAGCUUACCAGUCUGCGACUGACGCUCAGGCACGAAAGUGUGGGUAUCGAACAGGAUUAGAUACCCGUGUAGG
Molecule: ribosomal RNA, 466 nt
Filed under: uncultured bacterium
Lineage: Bacteria
Description: bacterial SSU rRNA
Rfam family: Bacterial small subunit ribosomal RNA
Source: RNAcentral